UACGUAGGUGGCAAGCGUUAUCCGGAAUUAUUGGGCGUAAAGAGCGCGCAGGUGGACGAAUAAGUCUGACGUGAAAGCCCCCGGCUCAACCGGGGAGUGUCGUUGGAAACUGUUGGUCUUGAGUGCAGAAGAGGGAAGUGGAAUUCCAUGUGUAGCGGUGAAAUGCGUAGAGAUAUGGAGGAACACCAGUGGCGAAGGCGGCUUCCUGGUCUGUAACUGACACUGAGGCGCGAAAGCGUGGGUAGCAAACAGG
RNAcentral lists this ribosomal RNA (253 nucleotides) under uncultured bacterium. Its description in RNAcentral is "partial 16S ribosomal RNA". It matches the Rfam family "Bacterial small subunit ribosomal RNA", at positions 524 to 776 of the family's 1533-position model. The record is from RNAcentral.